AAACUGCGAUAAGUAGUGUGAAUUGCAUUUAGUGAAUCAUCGAAUCUUUGAACGCACCCUGCACUCACUGGUAUUCCGGUGAGUACACCUGUUUCAGUAUCAUUGAAAACACACAAUCAAAACAUUUUCUUUGGUUUGAUUGGCUUUGGGUCUAUCAAAAAGUUUGGCUUGUUUCUUACAAGCCAAGCGGCCUGAAAUAUAUUGUCUGGCUAAUUGCAUCGUUGAUGAUCGCUAUUAGACUUUGGCUUUUUUAAAUGAACUGGAGGUUGAUUAACCAGUUUUAGCUUUAGUCAAAUGGUCAUUGUAAAAAAAAUCUCGAUCUUGGCUAGGUGUUUAUAGCCGAAAAUUUUUUUUUGGCUAUAACCGAAACCAAUAUAAUCACAUUUAGUUAUCGAUCUGAAAUCAGGUGGGACUACCCGCUGAACUUAAGC
RNAcentral lists this unclassified non-coding RNA (431 nucleotides) under plant metagenome. RNAcentral describes it as "partial contains 5.8S ribosomal RNA, internal transcribed spacer 2, and large subunit ribosomal RNA". The stretch from base 1 to 102 matches the Rfam family "5.8S ribosomal RNA", at positions 50 to 154 of the family's 154-position model. The record is from RNAcentral.